This 750-nucleotide ribosomal RNA is filed under the name uncultured bacterium. Its description in RNAcentral is "bacterial SSU rRNA". It matches the Rfam family "Bacterial small subunit ribosomal RNA", at positions 47 to 802 of the family's 1533-position model. The record is from RNAcentral.
UCGAACGGGGGCGUGAUGUGCGAGAGGGAUAGUUUACUAGACUUCAACUUUUCACGCCCUAGUGGCGGACGGGUGAGUAACGCGUGGGUAACCUGCCAUAUACAGGGGGAUAACACUUAGAAAUAGGUGCUAAUACCGCAUAAGCGCACAGGGGCGCAUGCCCCGGUGUGAAAAACUCCGGUGGUAUAUGAUGGACCCGCGUCUGAUUAGCCAGUUGGCAGGGUAACGGCCUACCAAAGCGACGAUCGGUAGCCGGCCUGAGAGGGCGGACGGCCACAUUGGGACUGAGACACGGCCCAAACUCCUACGGGAGGCAGCAGUGGGGGAUAUUGCACAAUGGGGGAAACCCUGAUGCAGCGACGCCGCGUGAGUGAAGAAGUAUUUCGGUAUGUAAAGCUCUAUCAGCAGGGAAGAAAAUGACAGUACCUGACCAAGAAGCCCCGGCUAACUACGUGCCAGCAGCCGCGGUAAUACGUAGGGGGCAAGCGUUAUCCGGAUUUACUGGGUGUAAAGGGAGCGUAGACGGUUAUGUAAGUCUGGAGUGAAAGCCCGGGGCCCAACCCCGGGACUGCUUUGGAAACUGUGUAACUGGAGUACAGGAGGGGCAGGCGGAAUUCCUGGUGUAGCGGUGAAAUGCGUAGAUAUCAGGAGGAACACCGGCGGCGAAGGCGGCCUGCUGGACUGAAACUGACGUUGAGGCUCGAAAGCGUGGGGAGCAAACAGGAUUAGAUACCCUGGUAGUCCACGCCG